This 304-nucleotide small RNA is filed under the name Histoplasma ohiense. RNAcentral describes it as "hypothetical lncRNA". The record is from RNAcentral. Lineage: Eukaryota; Fungi; Ascomycota; Eurotiomycetes; Onygenales; Ajellomycetaceae.
CAAACCAAACCAAACCAAACAUGAAAUUCAUGGUCCCACCGGCCAGCCUAUGCAGUGUAGAGUUCAAGAAUAGAACAUUCAGUUGGUGAAAGACUUCUUCAGAAGUACACAUUUCAUACACAUAUGACUCAAUUCAGGGUUGAAAUUUUGCUAGAGUGUCUUCUUCUAGCUGACUAUGAACAUAGCAGGCUUGUGAGAGCAGAGAGUCUAUCACAGACUCAUUGUAAUAGGCGCAACAGAGAUAUCUAUAUUAGAAAAUAGCUAUAUGGCGAUAGAAGAACAUAGAACACGCCAGAAUUAAUGA